CGGGUUCUGCUCUUCGCGUCAUACGGUAGCAUUCCAGUGGCCUUAAGCAAUUCCGAGGGAGCUGGCUCUGUUCUGGUCCUGGCCUGAUUACCUGGCGCCCACCUGUACAACAGGUCCUCGGGAAUGAGAUUACCAGACGGUCGCUGCGGGCCCGCC
This 156-nucleotide unclassified non-coding RNA is filed under the name Thalassovita taeanensis. RNAcentral describes it as "Litorimicrobium taeanense 6S / SsrS RNA". The record is from RNAcentral. Lineage: Bacteria; Pseudomonadati; Pseudomonadota; Alphaproteobacteria; Rhodobacterales; Roseobacteraceae.